UUUGUAUUUAUGUGUCUUGGACAUGUAUUGACAUGCGUAGACGCAUUCCUUGUUAUAACAACAAGAUCACAAAGUGUGAGACUCUUACUGAUUUUUUCCCCUCUUAUAAAUUUAAUUGACAUUAUAACCCCUUUCUUGGCUUACACGGUACUAUCUACUUAAAUCCUCUUUAUGUCAUUUAUUCUUAGCUAUAUAUAUAUAUAUAUAUAUAUAUAGCUAAAAAUGAUAACAUUUUGUUUCUCUAGUUUAGAAAUUUUAGAAUUUAAAUUAUCGUUAGAUGAUAAAACGGGCUUAUACAACCAUGUAUUUUAAUCUAAAUGAAGUGUACUUUUUC
RNAcentral lists this small RNA (334 nucleotides) under Arabidopsis thaliana (thale cress). RNAcentral describes it as "ATSL016580". The record is from RNAcentral. Lineage: Eukaryota; Viridiplantae; Streptophyta; Magnoliopsida; Brassicales; Brassicaceae.